Long non-coding RNA from Homo sapiens (human), 1250 nucleotides. Ensembl annotates it as long intergenic non-protein coding RNA 2207. Lineage: Eukaryota; Metazoa; Chordata; Mammalia; Primates; Hominidae. The record is from Ensembl.
GCCAGCCUGGGAGUCAUCUUCACCCUCAGGCUGGUAGACUCCAGUCUCUUAGGUCAGAAUGGGAUUAGAGACCCGUUCCUGAACCAGUCACACACAGCGGGUGAAACUGCUAUGAUUGGUUUAGACUUAGAGACUGGAAUGGAUGCUGCCCAUGAAAGCAUAAAAAGUGACCAGAAACAUCAGCAAAAUUCUGAAAACAACAUCUCAUUGCUGUUUCUGUUUGGAGACGUGUAGAUGUUGACAACAAAAAUAUCCAUGAAAGUACAAGCCUCCCAGCUCCAUCACAUGUCCAAGACUCACUGGAAGUGAGGAGAACCUUUGAGGCCUAGAAGCGAAGACACAUAGAAGCAAUGUGUACCUAGACUGUUGUCCUAAAUGCCAUUUCCUACCAGGAAGGAACCAGAGUCUUUGCAGAAAUGUAUCAUUUCACAUCUGGUCCCCAGAUAGCAGAUGACUGGUAGGAAGAUGAGGCAAGUUUGCGGUCCAUUGUCAUGGAUAGUGGAGACAACACUGGGCCAGAAGUGGUAAGACCUGAAUCCAAGACUCAGCUCUGCCACUUGCUAAAUGGGACUUUGAAUAAACCAUUUCUCUGCACUUAAGUUCCUUACCAACAAAACGAGGGAAGUGGCCUACAUGCCUAGAUAUCAACAUUUCAUGUCACGUAGAGAUCUAGCAUCACAAGAAUCCAAGUCAUCCUCUGUUGCCUUUAAGAAAUUAGAAUUAAAGGAAUCAGAAUUGAAGUGAAUCUGACUACACUAAGCCUAUCACUUGUGACAGCCAUGGGAAGAUAUCAUUGGUUGCUGAGGAGCAGAAAUAAGCAGAGACCUAUUGUGUUAGGUUAUCAUUCAUUUCAGUAACAGAAAUAAUCUAUUCAGAGUCAUGGAAAAAACAGAGUGGGCUGUUGGAAUUGGAAAGAAACAAACAAAAAGCAGAUCAGCAAGUUUUCAUAUUGCACUAUUUUCAAUGGCUGGAGCAUCAACAUUUUACAACAAGAAAAAAAUUAAAAUUCUUCAACAUUUGGAAAAGAAGUGUUUGUAAAACUUUUCACAUCCAUUCACCAUCCGGAAAAGCAAGGUUUUACAGUGAGGCCUGAUGAUGUCUAGAGUCACCAUGCAUCUUGGAAAAUGACCUCCUAUUUAUUUCUUCUACAGGACACCAUGGUGUUCACCUUUCUACAACUUUACACUUGCUGAGGACAUAUUGUGGAAAAUUAAGAGAAAUAUAUAUGGAUGGCCAAGGCUGUAGAUGGA